This is a long non-coding RNA of Megalobrama amblycephala (Wuchang bream), 2401 nucleotides long. RefSeq lists it as uncharacterized. NCBI's taxonomy places the organism in Eukaryota, Metazoa, Chordata, Actinopteri, Cypriniformes, Xenocyprididae. The transcript has 3 exons. The record is from RefSeq and is a predicted model, not a curated record.
GUAUCUUUCCACCGCUCGAAAUUGGUCUGCACAUGAAACAAGUGUUUAAGAACGACGACGACACUGCUCAUAAUGACAUCUAUUUUCCUUCAUCUCACCGCUAAGAGGGGCGCGAGGAUGCUCCUCCGCGCGAGCCCGGAGCUCUGGCGUUACCUAGCAACGGCUCCCAUACUGUACUCCCGCUCCAAGUGCCUUCAACUCUCUCUGCCGCUGAUUCUAUUUCUGUUGUUGCGUUGCAGUCGCAGUCUGCUAAAACAUUCAUAGCACAGUCCUCUUAGCAUGUGGCUUCUGCGGUAAUGUUUCAGAAUGAAGCACCACCCUACCCAACGCAGAGUGAUACUGACAAAUAGCGCGUCAAAUGAUGGGUGACAGACCAGUUAAUCAUGGGCUGCAGUCUCCGGGGACGCGCUGAUUGAGUCUGAUGUAAUGGAUGUUAUUAUGGCCAGUGACAUGACAACUGCGACCUCGUGCACGGACGUGUUUCCCACUUAAUUGUUCAAGCAGGUGCAGAGAAAAUGUGAUAACGCGGUUUCUCUCACGCUUUUUGAUAUGCCAGGGCUGCUGUUAGGGCACGACAAGGUUUAACGCCCCCAUGAUUCCACAUGAACAGCUUGUGAAGCGCAAUCGUGUAAUAAUCAAGUGUUGGAUGGAUGAAUUGCCACAAACUGUCUCACGUGCACCACCCGGAUACAACAAGCUGGUAAAUGGCACACUUCCGCCGAAACACACCUCAGAACAGACAGCACGUUGUUGCCCCUGCAGGGAACAUCCACACGAACAGACCAUCCUGUUCCUAUACAGUUUGAUGCUGCCCUCAUGUCCAUCCUGCCCUUAAGCCAAUUAUUUAUCUGUGGCAAAUGCCAUCCUGUGCCAACCUCACAGAGUUAUACAAGGAAAUUAGCUUGGCACCCUUUUUGUCCUGCACAAAUUAAACAGUAAAACUGCUAUUGAACAGGGAAGGAUAAAAAUUCUAUUUUGAUCUUAUAUGCACCCAAAGCAAACAAAUAAACAAAUACAGUUGACCCAGACGUCUGGGAGAUUCGAUCCAUUUUUUAAAAUAGCAAAGAUUUGAUCGGGAGGUUGUUAACAAAGGAUUAGCCUUUAUUGUUUAUCUAUAAUUAAUGGGCAAGAGCCUUUCUCCAUCUACUCCAUCAUCAAAGCAGUUCACUUUAAAUGAGAGUGAUUUAAUUUUCACCAUCGGAGAGCAGAAACAAUUUAGGAACUCAUUAAUGGUUAUUUCAAAGAACAUUAACUACCUAAUCUUAUAUAGGAUGGGAUUAGAUCUCUAAGUAUGGAACUGAUGAAAUGAAAUAAGGAGCGUUUGACGUCGGGCUGCAGGGGGAAAUAAAUUAAAAGGGAUGGCAGGUUGUGAGAGCUCUCAGAAGAGAUGAGCAGGUCACAGCAAUAAUGCUCUUUAAGCAGUGCAGGUUGACCUUCACAAACUCCUUCUUUUCAUCUGGAUCUGACAUUUAGUGACAAGAUAAUAUUCUCUGCUAUAUUUCAGCAGCUCUCUUUCAAACGCACACAGACACACGCGUUUUUAUAAUUAGCUUCCUGCUGAUAGAAGUUCAGGAUAUUGGUCCCCUGUGGAGAGGUAAUGUGUUAAUGUUUCUUAGGGAAGUCACAUCGAGGGAUUCAUUUAACGGUGAACUGCGUGGAGUCCCUGCAGCUUGUAUAUCUAACGUAACUCACACGCAGAUUUCGCAUUGUCUCUUUCACGCUUCACGCCCCCAUUUCGUUUUGUUCUGAAAGCCGAAGCAAAUAAAUGUCUGUAUCAGAUGUAAGCUGACUUGUGCAGUUAUAACUCGAGAAACACUUUACGGUACUGUGCAAAGAAUAGCCGCUGGGGUGUACGGAAAGGACAAACCUGCCCAGUUGUUAAAGAAAGAGCUUUAUUAUUCUACUCAAGCAUUAUGAAUAAUUAAUAAUGAUAAAUAAAUUAAAGCUUGUGAAUUGAACACGCAACCUUUUACCAGGCAGAUGUCUUUUGUUGUUUUUUGUUGUGUGGCACAGUAAAUGUGAAUAGAGAGGGUUUUUUAAUUCAGUAUUUAUUAGAGCAGCUAUUUAAAGGCACAAUAUGUAAUUUUUUGCCACUAGAGGUCGCCUAUUCAAAACAAACGCUGAGAUUGAGCGCAGAAUCAUGGGAGAUGUCGUCUUCACCUCACAGCCGGUGGAAGAGAAUCAGGACGAGACUCGGGCAGAAAUCAUGUUCAUGGAUGAGAUUAUUAAUGUUACUGUAGUAUGAAGCAGAGCAGGAGAGAUUGCUAAUGAGAAAUGAGCACGACACACACCACAAGAGCAGCGAAGCUUUUAUUAUGCCACAGUCGCCGCUUCCGCUUCUUCCGGUCUAGCGUUUGUGAGGUAACGCAGCGCUGUUUAUCAUAUUAGAUACAUUUGAGUG